RNAcentral lists this ribosomal RNA (495 nucleotides) under uncultured bacterium. RNAcentral's name for it is "partial 16S ribosomal RNA". It matches the Rfam family "Bacterial small subunit ribosomal RNA", at positions 28 to 507 of the family's 1533-position model. The record is from RNAcentral.
GACGAACGCUGGCGGCGUGCCUAACACAUGCAAGUCGAACGCUGAAGCAGGAGCUUGCUUCUCUGGAUGGGUUGCGAGCGGGUGAGUAACGCGUAGGGAACGUGCCCUGCAGCGUGGUAUAAGUUUACGAAACGAAAGCUAAUACCGCACAGUAUAAGAUGUCGCAUUACAUUUACGUGAAAGGUGCAGUUGCAUCACUACCAGGUGGACCUGCCGUGUAUUAGCUAGUUGGUGGGGUAACGGCUCACCAAGGCAGCGGUACAUAGUCGGCGGGCGAGGGGGGGCGGCCACACUGGGACUGAGACACGGCCCAGACUCCUACGGGCGGCAGCAGUAGGGGAUCAUCGGCAAAGGACGGAAGUCUGACCGAGGCACGCCGGGGGAGUGAAGGAGGGUGUCGGAUCGGUAAGGUCCGUUGUUAGCGAAGGAAGAGUGUGAGAGUGGAAAGUUCACGCUUUGACGGUAGCUGAACAGAAAGCGACGGCUAACUACGUG